RNAcentral lists this ribosomal RNA (433 nucleotides) under uncultured bacterium. RNAcentral describes it as "partial 16S ribosomal RNA". It matches the Rfam family "Bacterial small subunit ribosomal RNA", at positions 29 to 507 of the family's 1533-position model. The record is from RNAcentral.
AACGAACGCUGGCGGCAUGCCUAACACAUGCAAGUCGAACGAGACCUUCGGGUCUAGUGGCGCACGGGUGCGUAACGCGUGGGAACCUGCCCUUAGGUUCGGAAUAACUCCCCGAAAGGGGUGCUAAUACCGGAUAAUGUCUUCGGACCAAAGAUUUAUCGCCUUUGGAUGGGCCCGCGUUGGAUUAGCUAGUUGGUAGGGUAAAAGCCUACCAAGGCGACGAUCCAUAGCUGGUCUGAGAGGAUGAUCAGCCACACUGGGACUGAGACACGGCCCAGACUCCUACGGGAGGCAGCAGUGGGGAAUAUUGGACAAUGGGGGAAAGCCUGAUCCAGCAAUGCCGCGUGAGUGAUGAAGGCCUUAGGGUUGUAAAGCUCUUUUACCCGGGAUGAUAAUGACAGUACCGGGAGAAUAAGCGCCGGCUAACUCCGUG